GCCUUGGUAGCUCAGUUGGUAGAGCAUGAGAUUCUUAAUCUCAAGGUUGUGGGUUUGAGCCCCAUGUUGGGCA
Lacerta agilis (Sand lizard) is the source of this 73-nucleotide non-coding RNA. The record is from the annotation of a RefSeq genome assembly. NCBI's taxonomy places the organism in Eukaryota, Metazoa, Chordata, Lepidosauria, Squamata, Lacertidae.